This 531-nucleotide ribosomal RNA is filed under the name Onthophagus orpheus. RNAcentral describes it as "partial 16S ribosomal RNA". It matches the Rfam family "Bacterial large subunit ribosomal RNA", at positions 1907 to 2647 of the family's 2925-position model. The record is from RNAcentral. Lineage: Eukaryota; Metazoa; Arthropoda; Insecta; Coleoptera; Scarabaeidae.
UAUGAUGUAAAUUAAAUGGCCGCGAUAAUUUGAUCGUGCAAAGGUAGCAUAAUCAUUUGUUUCUUAAUUAGGAACUAGUAUGAAAGGUCGAACGAGAAAAUAACUGUCUCAAUUUAAUUUAAAUUAAAAUUUUAUUUUUAAGUAAAAAAGCUUAAAUAUAUUUUAAAGACGAGAAGACCCUAUAGAGUUUUAUAUUUAAUUUUAUAUUUUUAAUUUUUAGAAUUUAAUUUUAAAAUUAAUAAUUAAAUAUUUAGUUGGGGUGAUUUAAAAAUUAAAGAAACUUUUUAUUAAUUUAUAACAUUGAUUUAUGAUUAAUUGAUCCAUGAAUAAUGAUUAAAAGAUUAAAUUACCUUAGGGAUAACAGCGUAAUUUUUUUUGAGAGUUCUUAUCGAAAAAAUAGAUUGCGACCUCGAUGUUGGAUUAAAAUUAAUUUAUGGUGUAGAAGCUGUAUAAAUUAGGUCUGUUCGACCUUUAAAAUUUUACAUGAUCUGAGUUUAAACCGGUGUAAGCCAGGUUGGUUUCUAUCUUAAA